This 199-nucleotide long non-coding RNA is filed under the name Elaeis guineensis (African oil palm). RNAcentral's name for it is "long non-coding RNA (EGUI_LNC078048)". The record is from RNAcentral. Lineage: Eukaryota; Viridiplantae; Streptophyta; Magnoliopsida; Arecales; Arecaceae.
CGCUAGCCCCUUCCCCCUUGCAGCCACCUACCAGAUCUGCUCUCUCCCUCUUGCAGGCACCCAAACACCAGGUCCAGGACCUAAAAUCUCUUGAGAAGAGGUUGGUACAAGUUUCUCUCAGAUCUGGAGUUGAUCUGAGGUCGUUUGAGGUGCGGGUGAGAUCUCCAUCAACCGAUCUACAAGAAAGGCUGCAGCAGGA